CAACAUUAUGGAGCUCUUGUUGCUUUUGUUUUCUUUCGUGGUGCUUUCUAAAGGUAUGGGAAGUUCUGCAAUUAAUUUACUUCAUGUGGUGAUUUGAUGACGAACAACCAUUCAUUUCCAUCUUUUGUCUUUCCAAGGGGUCUCCUCAGACAUUCAGCUUGUAUCAUCUGGGCCAGGAAUAGUGAGACCAGGAGAGAAUCUCAACCUGCUUUGUAAAGUCAAAGGUUUCUCCAUCUCUACCCGAUACUAUGCGUGGCAUUGGAUCCGUCAAGCUCCUGGGAAAGGUCUGGAAUGGAUUGCAUGGAUAUACCCCUAUAAUGGAGACAUAGCAUAUGCCCCUUCUCUGAAGAGCC
Molecule: non-coding RNA, 353 nt
Organism: Podarcis lilfordi (Lilford's wall lizard)
Lineage: Eukaryota; Metazoa; Chordata; Lepidosauria; Squamata; Lacertidae
Source: the annotation of a GenBank genome assembly